Lepisosteus oculatus (spotted gar) is the source of this 622-nucleotide non-coding RNA. The record is from RefSeq and is a predicted model, not a curated record. Lineage: Eukaryota; Metazoa; Chordata; Actinopteri; Semionotiformes; Lepisosteidae.
UGACCGUGUCUGUCCACCCAGGGGUCAGCCUGGCGAAGAAACAGGCUUUUAACUUCAGCGACCUGUCCACCCUGAGCAGAGACCAGGAGGUGUGUGCACUGACCUGGGGAGACCAGCAGGAGACGGAGGUGCUGGUUGGCUGUGUCAACGGAGCAGUGAAGACCUUCAGCACAGAGAAGGGGAAAUUCAUCGAGACCCGGCAGUGUGGCGAUGCAUCACAGGGCAGAUUCACAGGGCUUGCUGUAUACGACGGUGCGCUGGUGACCUGCGUGGAGUCCGGGCUGCUCAGGGUGUGGAAGGAGGGAUCCACAGACUCGGUAAGGGCCCGUUUGUUGUUCCCUGUAGCUGCCGGCCCGCCGGAGGUCGGCACGGUCCCCGGAGCAGAAGAAUGCAUUGGGGAUCGUCUCCGUGGAAUCUGCCUGGCGGGGUGUGCUCCUACUCUGGGGUGUGCUGGCCUUAGAGGUGAUCAUUGUAAAGCGUUUUUUUAGGAGGCAGAGUUUGAGUCUGUUCAGUGAGAGGUAGGUAACAGGCUUAAAAUCUCCAGCAUCUGAAGUUGGCUUACAUCUAAGAACCGCCUGCAGGUGGUUAAACCUGGUCUGGAUCAGACUGCUCUGCACUGCGG